AUCGCCUCGGCCCUCCCGGCGGACCCGAAGCCUAAACGUCCAUUUCUUUAAUAACUUUGUAACGGCUCGUCGGAUUGCCGAACCGUCUUCGCCAACGCGUUCGUUUACCUAGCAAUUUGGUUUACGGAGGGUCAAAUGAGAUCAAACCCAUACAUUUUACAAAACCCCAUUCGGAGCCCUAACAUGCAAUUAACCUCUAAAUAAUCCAAAUUAAAUAGAGCAAACAUGUUUAGAAUGCUCAUUAGAGGCUAUUAGAACACUUAAAACUAAGGAUUAAGCCAAAUCCCAAAAGCUUACCUCAAUGUGAACGCCGCGACGAAAAUACGCCGCUCCAACGGGCGCACGAAAGCUCGAUCCGUCGCCUCCAACGCGUUCGCAAGCAUCUUCUCCACCAACCCUCCAAUUUUUAGAGAGAGAUUUAGAGAGAUGAGAGAGAUCUCUAGAGAGAGAAGGGAGGGUUUCCCUCCCCCUCCAUGCGCGUGUGUGUGUGUGGGGUGUGUGCGGCUGAAGGAGAAGAAGAGGAGUCAACACUCCUCUUUAGUCAACCCCACGACACUAUUCACUCCCGGGCAGCUUGAAAUCUGAUAACUUUCGCCGGAGCUCCCUGAAUGUCCGUUUGAGCUCAAACUUGACAGUCAUGUUCGGUUUUACUUAACUUAACAAGCUGACGAUCGCUGGUUCAGUUUCGACCCCGUUUGGUCACUGAAAACUGUACCGAACUGUAAUCUUUAUCAGAUAGCUGUCGGAUUUUAUUUCUCACUCUACGGGUGUCAGAAAAAUAUGAAACUUUAAAUCUAGCCUCAUAAAAAUAUUUCUGACUUAUCCUCCAAUUUUCAUAAUUUUCUGAGACUGUGCAUUUUCUGCUAAUUUAUCUGUCCCGUUUCCAACAGAAAAUUCUAGAUCUUCUGUUUUCAUUCCGAUUUCAGCACAAGUCACUUCUGACUUAUGUUUUACUUCUACAAAUCCAAUAAAAAUAGUUUCUCACACUAUUUUUAUUUAUUUUUAUUUUUAUACCAAAAUCUGGUAUGUUACAUUCUCCACCCCUUAAAAGAAUUUCGUCCGCGAAAUUCAAACCACGCCUCAAUUCAGCUCCGCGAGCAAUUGAGGGUACCAACUCAUUCUCCCACUCCAGAGCGGCUUCACACUAUCGUGGUUCCAGAAGCGGCUCAUACUGAAGGACGUGGGUUUAAUCCUAAACUCAUUUGCAAAGUGUGAUACAAACGUGCAUCACGGGUCUUGCAAGUCAUAGUGGCAGCGCAAGUCGGUACUCGACGACUCUACGCGCUCCAACACCACUCGCCACUCGGUACACAAAGAACUCUUCUUUGCACUGGCCUUCCCUUUUGGGAAUACAUUCCAAUUCGAUCACCGACAUUGCUUAGAAGCAAUAUCACCGGUGCAUCGCUCCGUCGUGAGUGCUCUAAUUUCGCACUGACCCUUAACUUUAACGCGAGAUGGCCCACUUCGGCACAUCUCAAGUCUCAGUUCGCUUACGAGCAUAGUCUCCAACAUCACGUGGCUUUCCACUAGAUUGAUGUCUCACAAGGAGUACUUCAUCAUCUGAUACCACAUGCCACGAUCAACAUCAAACUAUUUUCGCAACGAGCUCACGCGAGCACUCCGUUCGUGAAUUCGAGUCAAACUCCUCGAUAAGGCUAUCUGCCAAAUCGCUCUCUUCGGUCUCCACAGGUGGACCAAAGGCCACCAAUCCUACGUAGGCCUACCGCCUAAACCUGUCUCAAUACGCAGCGUCUCUCGCUCGCAAAUGCAGACCCAAUCAUGAUCGGGCGAAAUUCUCACUUGGGAAUUCGCACACACUCCAACCAGGAGCAACUAAGACCCCAAACCACGUCAAGUCCUCGGGUUGGGUCACAACCAUACUCGGUGUACCAUCGGUCACACAAUCUAUCACGUGGCAUUCCACGCUCCCGGGCCUAAACUCGGACUACCGUCCUGACCAGAACUCUGCCCUACCCGUAGGUACCGGGCCGCUGUCACUCACAGCUGACUGCGCCUGCCCAAUGGGCCCAGGCUCCACAGUCCACAAAUGGUCCAGGCACGGGUCGUCCCCAAGCACUACCCGCCGUCGUCGUCCUACACGACAUACUCUACCGAGUCACACGUACCAAUAUCGGUUCCUAUGCACCUAGUGCGAGUCACCAGUCCCACGAGUGAUCCAUGGCACGCUUCGCACCUAGCAAUGCUCAAGUGCUACUGCCAUUACACUCUCUCGGCUGAAUUCACAUCCGCACUUUACGGGUAUCUACACUCGAGCGCUCUACGCCUCUACAGCGUUCCACAGUAAGUCCAGCAUUAGGCAAUCUUGCCUAUGCACACCGAUCGCACGAGCACAAUCGCCUACCUCACCUUGAGGUACUACUAGGCCCACGUGCUCAAACUUGGCCACUAAUCGACCGUUCUCUCAACAGUGAUGCUACUUUCACUGUUCGAUCUACCGGAAUGACAUCCAAAAUUUUCGGACUACUCGGGUGCCCAUAGGCAUUAUGGCUCGACUCUCGCAAUUUACUACUCAUAUUGCUCUGAGAGUCAUUUCGACACUUCUAUCUCUACCGCGAGUCUCAUUUCUCGCCAUAGAUUACUUCUAGCACUUCGCUAGUGCCAUCUGGCUUUAUACCUGUACUGGCAGGUACUACGCCCUCACAUAAUACAAAACGCCAUUUCUAGAGCAAUCAAGUCUAUCUCUAGAAAUUCACCAUGAGAGAGAGCUUAGAAGCUUACCUCUCCAAGAAGCUCCAACCAAGGAGAAGAUGAAGAAGAUGAGGAAGUCCUCUUUCUUCUUCUUUUUCUUCCCUUUUCUUUCUUCUUCCUCAUCUUGUCUACUAGAGAGAGAAAGAGAGAUAUGAGAGGGUGUGUGGGUGAGAAAUAAGAGAAAAGAGCUCUCAUACCCCUCACAUAGCCCCACAUGUUGCAUAAGUACAACCAAGCCCCUCAACUUUUACUCUUUUACACUGCCUUGACUGGGCCAUUUUCGUGUUCGGGGACCGGUCUCCCCGACGAGGGACCGGUCUCCGAGAGCUUCUCCCCGCAGUCAGCAGAGCUCACGCCCGAUGCAUCCGGUCUCUCUUUGGGGGACCGGUCUCUCAGGGACCGGUCUCUCCAGCAGGGACCGGUCUCCGAGAGCUGUCCACCAAGGACUUAGCCGAUUUUUCUCUCCUCUUGCUGCCUGCGCGUUCGGGGACCGGUCUCUCCACCAAGGACCGGUCCCGCGAGCAAGCCCACAAGCUGCAAGUCUUGCAGAUUUUGAUUUCCAAAGCUCUGAAGUCCCCAAUAAUGCAACUUUUCGCAUUAUUUGACGCCCUUCGCCUUUUCCAAAGCGACCAACCUCAUACUUGUCAAUUUUGCUAAGUUCGAUACUUGGUUAUCGACAGUCUCAGGUAUAUUACAUACCACUGAACAACAGCCAAUCUUUGACGAAGGGUUCAAUUUCUCGGACUCUCGAGAUUACUGUCGUUACACACGCUGUACCGACUACACCCCUAGUGUUCAAACCCGGUAACACAUGUUCCAAGAAUUCAGUUUGCAUCGCUUCGACCUACGAUUCGUUGCGGAGCAUCGCUAAACCUUCUAACUCUUUUAGAACUCAAUUCUAACCUUCCACAUUGUUAGAAUGUCAAUUGGACUUUGUCCAAUACUUCUCUCGACGCCACUUUGGUCAUUUGACCAAAAGUGACUAACCGACGAGAUUCGUAACUUCUCAAAGGUCACAAGGCGCCGCAAAGCUCUUUGUGAAGUUCCAAGUCUCCGUCGCCUCAAAUUUGCAGGCCAACACCACUUGAGCCAUCCCGCCGCCAACUAAGAAGAUCGCCUCGCGGUGGUUAUCGCUUCUAAAACAGCGACAAAUCUAUUAAUCCUCGACCAUUCUAGGUCGACAACACAGAACACUUUAAUACCGACUCAAAUCGGGCGAAAGUCACGCAGGAUCGUCUAUUCUCUUACGCCGGUUUGUGUAUGCAUCCAACAAUGAACACUCGGUUGCGAAUAACCACCCUUAAACUACCUCUAAACUAUCUGUUUUAGAGGUUUACAACCGUAACCCAAUCAUAACCUUUCGCAAAAGUCACAAGUCCGUCUCUCACGAGCCUUAAUCUCCAUGGUUUACUAUCCCUAGGGCUCUCCUAGGCUACCAACUAAACCAUUUUUCUAUUAUUCUUUUUAUUGUUCAUUUUAUUCUCUGAUACCCAUCUUAUCUGUCACGCCCGCGGACCGCCGCCUAUUUGCGGGGGCGCGGCGCUGCCGAACAGAUCGCCGAAACGGACAGGGUUUCCCUGUACUGGAAGAGUCUCCCCUGUAGGUCAGGAUGAGCAAUCAAUACAUGUUGCGAAAGUUCCAACCAGCUGAACACUUUCAUCAAGAUUGCAAAUGGACAGGGUAUAUCAACAACAUAACACAUCUAUGUAUUAUUACAUUCAUUCACAUUAGAUUACAUUUUUCAUCGCAUUAAUAUAACAUUUCUUUUUAGUAUCACAAUACAAUCUUAGCUUUUAACAAUAUUUAUUUACAACUUGAUCUUUUCAUUUUCUUGAUCCAUACAGUAAGGACCGCAUCGGCAGGUACGCUAUUCUGGUCUCGCGUGGUCAGGGCGCUACACUAUGAACUACGCCCGUCGCCCGCGCCGCGCGCGCUCACGUGCGACCUCACGUGAAAACCCCAAAACCACGUGGAGGUGAAGAACCAAUCAAUUUUCCCAGUGGGGUACGACCACCAAGGGGAAAAGUCGACCAAUAGGUCCAAGGGAGGCAACGCAAAGUAUAGUUAAUAAACAGAUAGAUAUGUUUAUCUUAUUAUGAACUAAUAAACCAAUGCUUCUGACUCCGAAUCCAUAAUGCCAUGCUAUAUGGAAUACAUGCAACUAUACACGUAGAAAAAUGUUAUUACUUUGUAUCAUGCUAUCCAUUAGCUUUUCAUAAUCAUACCUCUUAUCACUACAUCAUUGGAAUUAUUUGCUCCUAAGGUUUUCCUCUACCCUAGCCAAGCUAAUACACCGACUCAGGUCUCGAGUGUCCAAUCAACUGCGGAAUACCGCACAAAAUAGGUCGAGCGAUGGACGAUCUCACAUACACCUAGCCUAGAUCCCUCAACGUGGAGAUACACAAAUCAAGUAACCGUCAUAAUGCAUAUUUACAUCAUUGAGCCCUAUGAGCCAAUCUUACGGUACGCAUGUUAACCCCCAAUAAUCAACAAUACAAAAUCUAAUACGCGGGACUGAACCUCCCUUAGAGACCUGUAAACUGGUGGGACUUUACACGCCCAUGGUGACCAAGCUCCGGAGCGCACGCGAGGGGGACGCUAACUCCCUCAAGCAAGAACUUAUCGUGCAGUGAUCGAUCCAAUAUCUCAACUUGAGGAUACAUAGCCAUAGUCACAAUGCCAAUGUCAAACUUAGUUUACUAUUUAUCAUGAACAGCUUAUGUCAACUUGCGACCAAAUGUCAAUAAUGGUUAAACCUAUGGUUUAACAAUCACUUUUUGAUGCAAUGCAUGUCUCACUAUUAGUCAUUAGCCACCCUUGUUUACUAAUGUUCACAGCCAACUCUACACAUUUACACAAUAAUAGGGUCCUAACAUAUCAUGAAUGACACCAAUAUAUUCUGAUCAAUCACCCAAGUGUUUGCUAUAGGUUCAAGGAUGCCAGGUUUAUGCCUACAGUCGAUAACAUAUAUAGAAUUGUCACUAUGCUUCCACAACAAGAAUAUGUCCGAUCAAGUCAUGUUUUGUUCAUAUUUAACAUAAUCCACAAUAAUGUCCAAUUCAUAAUAUAUCAUCAUGCACUAUACACUAGCAUCACAUUGAUUUUGUCAACCAUACAUAGUCAUCUCCAAAAUAGUCCAUACUUAGCAUACUCAUGAUUCUGUUUUAACACUUAAUUCUUAUGCAUUACAUUUGCAUUUCAUAUAGACUAUGUUAGACAAUGCAUUCUUUCUCAUUUAUACUAUGUCAUUAUGCAUCAAUAUUGAAUUUCAUUUCUUAGACAUAAAUGGGCGACCUCGUGCUUCUGUAAACACAACCACCUCAUUUCGCGUUCCGAAUGCUUGUUCGACACUUGCACACUCGGCCAAUACCGCCGGCACCAAUAGAAAGAAAAAAAAAGGCAACCCGCGUUUGGCCCGGAUCUUCCGCGACAACCCCGAACGGGCUCCAACUUCACGAUCGAAAUUAAAGAGUUCUUCGGUCUGAUGUGCACGAUGCUUUCAAAUCGCAUUUUCGAUGAUUUACGAUAUCGUCUCGGCACUGCGGCGGACCGAAGCAGUAAACGGUCAUUUCUUUAAUAAUUUGUAACGGCUCGUCGGAUUGCCGAACCGUCUUCGCCAACGCGUUCGUUUACCUAGCAAUUUGGUUUACGGAGGGUCAAAUGAGAUCAAACCCUCAUAUUUUGAGUGUUUGCAUUUUGAGCCCUAGGUUUACAACUAUGCAAGAAAUUAUUAAAUUGCUCUAUGAUUCAAGCAUUAAUCAUCUAUUAGGCAUCAAUGGGUUCCACUAAAACCAUUUUCAAAGCAUUUAGACCUAUCUUUAGAGAUUUACCAUUAUAACCCUCAUUUUGGAGCUCUAGGUCUCAAUGGGUAAAAAUCCACUAUUAGAGCUUUGGUUUCAAGCAUCAAACCUCUAAUUAGUAUGCUAGAAUACCUCUAAACCCAUUCUUAGAGCUUAAAACCAAACUAGAGAGAAAUGCCAUUAAAGGGCUCAAGAAGCUCACCUCAAAAUGAGCUCCAAAUCAUGGAAAAGAUGAAGAAGACGAAGGCGAUCCACCUCCAAGCUUCGAUCUCCACCAAAUCCACUCUUUUUGGGAGAGAUUUAGAGAGAGAAAGAGAGGGUUUUCUCUCUCCCUUCCAUGCGUGUGUGCGUGUGUUGUGUGUGCGGGUUUGGGGCAGCCACGGUUGAGGGAGAAGAAGGCUUAAGCCCAUUUUACAAUUUAACCCCUCAACAAUUACACUAUUCAUCCCGGGCAGCUUGAAAUCUGAUAACUUUCGCCGGAACUCCCUGAGUGUCGGUUUGAGCUCAAACUUGACAGUCAUGUUCGGUUUUAUUUAACUUAACAAGCUGACGAUCGCUGGUUCAGUUUCGACCCCGUUUGGUUACUGAAAAUUGUACCGAACUGUAAUCUUUAUCAGAUAACUGUUGGAUUUUAUUUCUCACUCUACGGGUGUCAGAGAAAUAUGAAACCUUAAAUCUAGCCUCAUAAAAAUAUUUCUGACAUCUCUGCCAAUUUUCAUAAUUUUCUGAGACUGUGCAUUUUCUGCUAAUUUAUCUGUCCCGUUUCCAACAGAAAAUUCUAGAUCUUCUGUUUUCAUUCCGAUUUCAGCAUAAGUCACUUCUGACUUAUGUUUUACUUCUACAAAUCCAAUAAAAAUAGUUUCUCACACUAUUUUUAUUUAUUUUUAUUUUUAUACCAAAAUCUGGUAUGUUACAAAACGGGUAUAUACCACUAAAUUAACACCGGUGUCUGCUAGCUAAGCUGCUGGGCUCUUGCCGCGAUCCUCGGCCACACUGCUCGCACUAGAACCUGUAUGGUUAGUGGUGUAAGAACUACUAAAAGUUCCCAGUGGGUUCGGCCGCCGACCUCGCCGACUCACCCACUAGGUCUAUUUAGGCAUAUGCAGACAAGAAAAGUAAACAGAUAGUAACCAAUUAUAACAUGUAACUACUACAAUGCCUGUACAAAGCUGAAAGAAGUAAUAUAUGAAAACUGGUGAAUAUGCAUGCAUGCUUUUACUGAAAUUACCCAAUCCAUUGGUUAACCCUUUGGUUAACACUAACUCACUGACACUAUCCCAAAUAUCGAGGAGACGCAAGCUACAACCCGACGGGACUGUCAACUGGGGGAGACGCACCUCCUGGUCCAGUUAAGAUGACUACUCCGGAACUCAUCGUUCAAGGAGGAGCGACCUACCUUGAACAAAACUAAUGUGAGUAUGAUCUGAUCCUCCGUUAGAGGAUUCAACAAUAGACAAUAUUAUACUUUACUCUAACUAACUCUUUAUGAUAGUUUUACAGUUUCAUUUCUCGAUGCUAACCAAAUCUCUAGUCAUGAUGUCACCAAGUUCACUAUUGUUAUAGUCCAUGCAUUCAUAGGGUUCUAUAUCCACAAUCUAAUGUUCACAUAUUCUCACUGUUGAUAAGAAAUCACAUAUUCAAAUGUCACUUGCAUAAUGCCAAUACCCUAUAAUGCAAGAAUACAAUGUAACUAUGCUCAAUGAAUAAUAUAGACAUAAAGAGUGAUUCAAAGAUUUCGGAUAGCACCACCCACCUUGUAGGGAUGCCGAAAAGCUAAGCCCAACGUCUCGAAACGUGUAAACACCAAGCCCCCGCGACUCGAUGCCAAACAGGUAGAAUGAAGCGUUUCUUAAGUCGUAGGUCCGUCGGAAUAUCAACCCAAGCUUUCAAGCAAGUCAAUCUUUCCUUCAUAGAGGAAUAAAAGGGAUUAAACUUAAGUCAUAUUCAUAUUUUUACAACUUUGCAUUUCAACUCCAACUUGCAUAUAUGUAUAUAAUAUCAACAUAUAUAUAUACAGUCUUUCUAUUAAGUUUCUUAUGACAGUUUAGGAUUUCAAAAACUAGAACAACUCAUAAUUAACCCCCUUUAGGUAGUAAAUAUCAAUCUUUACUAUUACAAUUUCUGCCACAAGUUCCACUUUACUCUAAACAAUAGCUCACAUAUCAACUAUAUAACUUAUAGUUUACUAUAGGUCCAUCUAUAGCUUUUAUAGGUUUAUCCAUGACCACCUCAACCUUUAGAAGCUAACUAAUCCAUAAUUUAACUUCUUUACAUAGCAACAACAUCAUUCUUAAGUAGAUAGUAAAGUCACUCCACCUCAAACUUUAUCACCAACAACAACUCAUAAUACAUAUAUAUACAUACAUGCAUAUAUAUAUAUCGUAUAGAGUUAAUUUUUAUAUAGGGUUUAAGGCACUUAUGGUCUUAGCACUUUAAAAAUCCCUUGUUCACUACUUCUCCACAGUGAGGGAUAUCAUUCUAACCAGGUUUAGGAUCAAUUCAUCUUAGAUUUUCAUUCGAAUCAUUCCUUCACAUAUAUUCACACAUAUACAAGCUUUCCUUAGCAUAGUUUCUAGGUUUCUAGGUUUCAUCCACAAACUUUUGAGCCUAAACUUCAUGGUUCAAGCUUCUUUAGAAUGAGAACAUACUCAAUUCAGGGUCACUUAACCAUUCUAUUGCAGGUUUCAUCCCAAAAAUCCAUCAACAUGUGGAUAUAGGCUGCCAACAAGCUUCUUUAAACUUCUUUAAGUCUCUACAAGCUUAAUUCACUUAAAAAUCUCUCUCAAGGAGCAAAUAAACUAAACCCCAGCUGAGAAGUAAACCAAUUACCUCAAGUUCGAAGCUUCCAAGACUGGUUUUCCCACUUUGGCAUCUCCAAACAAGACCAAACACCAAAGCUACCACUUCUCCAACAAUUCCUUCACUAGUUUGCUUCUUGGAUUGAGAGAAAAAGAGAGGGAAAUUUAGAUAAGAAAAAAGCUGCGGAGUGUUGUUCAAGUACCUGGGCAAGUGCUAGACAUCUGAGUUAAAAAGAUAAGAGCAGAAAAUUGCAACUUAACCCCUUAAAAAACUAAAACUGCAUUGCAGUCUAGUAGUUCACAGUUCAGUCCCUGCAGGUUCGCAAAUCAGUCCCUGCAGGUUUACGAAUCAGUCCCUGCACUAAACAGAAGCUGGCAGCAGCAGUUUUCAGCCCCGUUUGCGCGUCUAGUUCACUCCGAACUCACUCUAACACCUCCAAAACAUGCCAAAGCAUCUUCACAAGCUACCAAAUUAAUUUGGAAGCAUUUAAUUUCCAUUUUAGCAUUAUCUUGACCAUUUUGAUCAAGAUUAGCAACAUAAUCAAUGAUCCGACAUAUUACAUUUAGAGUUUAGGAAUCCCUUUGCUCUAGAUUAAUUACAAUAACCCUAAUCCGGAAUUAAGAUUAAUCUACAGGUUUCCUCUUUAAUAGUUAAUUCACAUGUAUAUUACAUAUCUAUACACAUAACAUAUAGUUUUUUUCUAGAUUCCUUUUCAUAGUAAUAUGAACUCUAGAAGCUAAAACCUGCAGCUCAAGUCUUUAUAGAGUAAUUAACACCACUCAACAUAUAGCUUGUUCUCUAAAUCUUCAUGAUAAAAUAAGUUCUAGCAACCUAGAAAUCCUUUCUUAGGGUAAUUAAAAUAAAUCCUAGCAACAUAUGGCUUGUUCUCAGGUUGAUUGCUUCAUAGAUUAAUUGCUUCACACAUAUAUAUACAUAUAUGGCUUCUUAACAUGGCAUUUACUCUCUUUAGCAACCAAAAUUUAUAGCUCCACCCUUUUUAAAGUAGAUAAUCCAAUACUAUCCAGGAAAAUAUAGCAACUUUACCUCCAAUUGAAUACUUCAACCGCCCAUCGACCAUAAUUAACUAUCUCCCUCAUGCUAAUAUACAUAGAAUAUGCAUAAUAAUAAACAUAGCCUAUAGUAGCUGGGCUAAUUAAUUAGCAAGCCUCCUAUGCACGUAAAUACACCACCUAUGUUGUUUCAUGGCAAUUUCAACUCUAGCAGCUAGGAAAUCCUCUCAUAGAGUAAUUAGAACAAGCCUAACCAACCUCUGGUUCUAUUUCCAAUCCACAGCUCACAUAUAUGAUGCUCAUAUAUAGCUUUCUCUCACUAGGUUUCCAUUACAAUAGGAACUCUAGCAAUCAAAACACCUAUUACUCAAAUCUUUUUAGGUAAUUAGAACAAAUCCAACCAGAAAAUACUAACCCUUACCAAGGAGAGCAUAAACUUAUCUCAAAACUCAGCUCCAUCAGCCUUCUCAUCAUGCUCCUUAGCUUGCUCACACAACUCAACAUCAACUCCACCAAUUCUCUAUCCUCUACUUCACACGAUUA
RNAcentral lists this long non-coding RNA (10861 nucleotides) under Ananas comosus (pineapple). Its description in RNAcentral is "long non-coding RNA (ACOM_LNC007164)". Lineage: Eukaryota; Viridiplantae; Streptophyta; Magnoliopsida; Poales; Bromeliaceae. The record is from RNAcentral.